Molecule: ribosomal RNA, 254 nt
Filed under: uncultured bacterium
Lineage: Bacteria
Description: partial 16S ribosomal RNA
Rfam family: Bacterial small subunit ribosomal RNA
Source: RNAcentral
GACAGAGGUGCCAAGCGUUAGGCGGAAUCACUGGGCUUAAAGCGUGUGUAGGCGGAUCGUUAAGUACCUUGUGAAAUCCCACGGCUCAACCGUGGAACUGCUGGGUAUACUGGCGGUCUUGAGCCACCUAGGGGCAACUGGAACAAGCGGUGGAGCGGUGAAAUGCGUAGAUAUCGCUUGGAACGCCAACGGUGAAAACAGGUUGCUGGGGGGUGUGCUGACGCUGAGACACGAAAGCCAGGGGAGCGAACGGG